AAGGUUUUAAGUUAAAAAAACUGUUAGCCUUCAAAGCUAAAAAUAAAUUCUAAAUUUAAACCUUA
RNAcentral lists this transfer RNA (65 nucleotides) under Tegrolcinia mirotibialis. RNAcentral's name for it is "tRNA-Trp". The record is from RNAcentral. Lineage: Eukaryota; Metazoa; Arthropoda; Insecta; Orthoptera; Tettigoniidae.